RNAcentral lists this transfer RNA (84 nucleotides) under Bacteroidota bacterium. Its description in RNAcentral is "Bacteroidetes bacterium tRNA-Leu". It matches the Rfam family "tRNA". From Rfam's summary of the family: Transfer RNA (tRNA) molecules are approximately 80 nucleotides in length. Their secondary structure includes four short double-helical elements and three loops (D, anti-codon, and T loops). The record is from RNAcentral. RNAcentral also lists the same sequence under 3 other names. Lineage: Bacteria; Pseudomonadati; Bacteroidota.
GCCCAGGUGCUGAAAUUGGUAGACAGGCAUGGUUGAGGGCCAUGUGUCCGUUAGGGCGUGCGGGUUCGAGUCCCGCUCUGGGCA